This 453-nucleotide ribosomal RNA is filed under the name uncultured Parabacteroides sp. RNAcentral's name for it is "partial 16S ribosomal RNA". It matches the Rfam family "Bacterial small subunit ribosomal RNA", at positions 341 to 792 of the family's 1533-position model. Lineage: Bacteria; Pseudomonadati; Bacteroidota; Bacteroidia; Bacteroidales; Tannerellaceae. The record is from RNAcentral.
ACGGGAGGCAGCAGUGAGGAAUAUUGGUCAAUGGGCGGAAGCCUGAACCAGCCAAGUCGCGUGAAGGAUGAAGGUAUUAUGUAUUGUAAACUUCUUUAGCAGUGGAGUAAUAAGGGGAUCGUGAUCCCUGAUGCAAGUACACUGAAAAUAAGGAUCGGCUAACUCCGUGCCAGCAGCCGCGGUAAUACGGAGGAUCCGAGCGUUAUCCGGAUUUAUUGGGUUUAAAGGGUGCGCAGGCGGCUUUUUAAGUCAGCGGUAAAAUCGUGGGGCUCAACCCCAUCCUGCCGUUGGUACUGGAGAGCUUGAUUGCGGUUGAGGUUGGCGGAAUUCGUCGUGUAGCGGUGAAAUGCAUAGAUAUGACGAAGAACACCGAUUGCGUAGGCAGCUUACCAGACCGUUAAUGACGCUCAUGCACGAAAGUGCGGGGAUCGAACAGGAUUAGAUACCCUGGUA